Prinia subflava (tawny-flanked prinia) is the source of this 1004-nucleotide long non-coding RNA. RefSeq lists it as uncharacterized. Lineage: Eukaryota; Metazoa; Chordata; Aves; Passeriformes; Cisticolidae. The transcript has 4 exons. The record is from RefSeq and is a predicted model, not a curated record.
UUGGGAAUCCUAAUUUAGCAGUGAGCCUUAAGCCUUACUAAUACCUGCUUACUGCAGGCAGCCUCUGGUUUCUGUGCCCACUGUCUUGACCAGAAUGGGAGUGUCACAGGGGUUCUGGCACCAUAAAUACUGGCUGCCACCUUGAGCUGUCUGGGAAGACUUGAAGGAGUCUGCCGACAUACAGUACCUGGAGCCUCAGCACCUCCUGCUCUACAUCCCUGGUGCUCCAUUACUGGUCUUUGUCCAAUGCAUCUUUGAAAGAACCCUGGGUCUGCCCUUGGGCAGGGCAUUGGGAUUGAGUGAGAAGUGGAGGCCAAAAUUCAGACCAAUGCCACGCUGGAAGGCUUCUACAUUCUGCUGGGCAGAACUGCAAAGAAAAGGUUGUUUGCUCUCUUAUAUUUAAUCUUCCUGCAUAUCUCAGUAAUAAUACACGGAGUCAGGGUGGAGAGAGGAGUCACCAAGUGUCUUGAUCAAGAGAAUCAAGUUAUCCCUGGUUCUCACCUUGAAGUUUAAUGCUGCAUGUACAUAAAGACCCCCAUCAGUUGGAGAUCUACAUUUUCUUUCACCUCAUUCUUCUCUGGACUGGCUCUUCUGUAUGAUGUAAGUAUGUAAGCAGGGUCAUGCUGUGAAGUGACACCUUUCAAGGGUUCUUUUUUCAUUGUAAAUGAGGCUGAUGAUCCCAGACCACUCCAAAGAGCCCAUCCAAAGACAAUGUGUGGUCAUGACUAUGGGUGCAAAGCCAAAGGACAAAUUCAGCAGUGUUGAGCAGAAUCAUCCCCAACCCUGAAUCAGCAGCUCCCUUCUCCCUGGGCGGAGCUGGGUAGGUGUCAGUGAUAAUGAAUUACUUCUGUCAGUGAGUUGUAGAGAGCAAGAACUACUCUGCUGUUUUUGUCUUAGAUCCUAUAGGUAAGUGUUCCCCACAGAUACCCACACACCGCUCCUGCAUCUCAGACAAGAGCAGACUUUGUCCUGACUGUGGCUGCUGCCCACUGCUCCAAAGACUC